Molecule: long non-coding RNA, 314 nt
Organism: Cyprinus carpio (common carp)
Lineage: Eukaryota; Metazoa; Chordata; Actinopteri; Cypriniformes; Cyprinidae
Exons: 3
Source: RefSeq, a predicted model, not a curated record
UCCCGAGAAGAGAGAUGUGCGACAGCAGUGAACCACUCAGAUACAGGGGUUGAGACUUAUGGCAAUAUCACUCGUCAAGGAAUGUUCACAACCUCCAACCAAUGGGCGGCUCGCCAGUCCAAACUCCACCGUUAUGUGCACAGGAGAGAGUUGAGACAGUUCACAAUCCAGGAAAAGGUUCACACUUCACUUGAUUCGUAUCCAGAACAGGCAACAUGCAGUAGAUGAACAUCAAACAGGACAUCACAAGGAAACAAACAAGGAGAGGAAAAAAAAAAAAAAAAACCUAGCCUUGAAAACACAAGGCAAAAAAA